RNAcentral lists this ribosomal RNA (566 nucleotides) under uncultured Amycolatopsis sp. RNAcentral's name for it is "bacterial SSU rRNA". It matches the Rfam family "Bacterial small subunit ribosomal RNA", at positions 340 to 917 of the family's 1533-position model. The record is from RNAcentral. Lineage: Bacteria; Bacillati; Actinomycetota; Actinomycetes; Pseudonocardiales; Pseudonocardiaceae.
UACGGGAGGCAGCAGUGGGGAAUAUUGCACAAUGGGCGAAAGCCUGAUGCAGCGACGCCGCGUGAGGGAUGACGGCCUUCGGGUUGUAAACCUCUUUCGCUAGGGACGAAGCGCAAGUGACGGUACCUAGAUAAGAAGCACCGGCUAACUACGUGCCAGCAGCCGCGGUAAUACGUAGGGUGCGAGCGUUGUCCGGAAUUAUUGGGCGUAAAGAGCUCGUAGGCGGUUUGUUGCGUCUGCCGUGAAAUUCGGGGGCUUAACCCUCGGCUUGCGGUGGAUACGGGCAGACUUGAGUUCGGUAGGGGAGUCUGGAAUUCCUGGUGUAGCGGUGAAAUGCGCAGAUAUCAGGAGGAACACCGGUGGCGAAGGCGGGACUCUGGGCCGAUACUGACGCUGAGGAGCGAAAGCGUGGGGAGCGAACAGGAUUAGAUACCCUGGUAGUCCACGCUGUAAACGUUGGGCGCUAGGUGUGGGCGACAUCCACGUUGUCCGUGCCGUAGCUAACGCAUUAAGCGCCCCGCCUGGGGAGUACGGCCGCAAGGCUAAAACUCAAAUGAAUUGACGGG